Molecule: long non-coding RNA, 385 nt
Filed under: Dromaius novaehollandiae (emu)
Lineage: Eukaryota; Metazoa; Chordata; Aves; Casuariiformes; Dromaiidae
Description: lncRNA (ENSDNVG00000012574.1)
Source: RNAcentral
GACUUGCCAUCAACAAUAAUCUCCUCCCUGUCAGUGUGGAAAAACUACGAAUUCAAGAGGAAUAAAAUACAAAGCAUGAGAAUAAUAUCUACUCUUAUCUUGGACAAAAUACAAAUAAGAAAAGGAAGAAUUUAAAGAAAGCCAAAACUAGUGGAAGACGAUGGGAGGGAGAGAGAGGAGGAACAACUGACGUUCAGUGAUGCAGUUUCAAGGUUUUCCUAUGCAUUACAGAAGCUAGAGGAAAGACUAAGUAGGAUACUUCUUCCUAAAUCAAGUUCAAGAUAAAUUUAUGCUUUGAGGGUGGCAAGGAAAGAAUGGCUGUGUUUGAAAUGCCCACAGGAUCUCAGCAGGAGCUGCUGCCUCAUACAGAAUUCAUCUGUAAGGU